CUACGGGUGGCAGCAGUGGGGAAUAUUGGGCAAUGGGCGCAAGCCUGACCCAGCAACGCCGCGUGAAGGAUGAAGGUUUUCGGAUUGUAAACUUCUUUUGUCAGGGAAGAUAAUGACGGUACCUGACGAAUAAGCCACGGCUAACUACGUGCCAGCAGCCGCGGUAAUACGUAGGUGGCAAGCGUUGUCCGGAUUUACUGGGUGUAAAGGGCGUGUAGGCGGGACUGCAAGUCAGAUGUGAAAACUAUGGGCUCAACCCAUAGCCUGCAUUUGAAACUGUAGUUCUUGAGUGAUGGAGAGGCAGGCGGAAUUCCUAGUGUAGCGGUGAAAUGCGUAGAUAUUAGGAGGAACACCAGUGGCGAAGGCGGCCUGCUGGACAUUAACUGACGCUGAGGCGCGAAAGCGUGGGGAGCAAACAGGAUUAGAUACCCCCGUAGUC
RNAcentral lists this ribosomal RNA (439 nucleotides) under uncultured bacterium. RNAcentral's name for it is "partial 16S ribosomal RNA". It matches the Rfam family "Bacterial small subunit ribosomal RNA", at positions 339 to 795 of the family's 1533-position model. The record is from RNAcentral.